AACGAACGCUGGCGGCAUGCCUAACACAUGCAAGUCGAACGAGACCUUCGGGUCUAGUGGCGCACGUGUGCUUAACGCCUGGGAACCUGCCCUUAGGUUCGCAAUAACUCCCCGAAAGGGGUCCUCAUACCGGUUAGUGUCUUCCGACCAACGAUCUCUCGCCUUGGGAUGGGCGCUCGUUGGAUUAGGUAGUUGGUAGUGUAAAAGCCUGCCAUCGCGUGGAUCCUUGGCUGGUCGGGGAGGAGGACCAGCCACGCUGGGACUGAGACACGGCCCAGACCCCGACGCAGGGCAGCAGUGGGGAAUAUUGGACGAUGGGCGAAAGCCUGACACAGCAAUGCCGGGGGAGUGAUGAAGGCCUUAGGGUUGUAAAGCUCUUUUACCCGGGAUGAUAAUGACAGUACCGGGUGAAUAAGCACCGGCUAACUACGUG
RNAcentral lists this ribosomal RNA (433 nucleotides) under uncultured bacterium. Its description in RNAcentral is "partial 16S ribosomal RNA". It matches the Rfam family "Bacterial small subunit ribosomal RNA", at positions 29 to 507 of the family's 1533-position model. The record is from RNAcentral.